This 450-nucleotide ribosomal RNA is filed under the name uncultured bacterium. RNAcentral's name for it is "bacterial SSU rRNA". It matches the Rfam family "Bacterial small subunit ribosomal RNA", at positions 335 to 802 of the family's 1533-position model. The record is from RNAcentral.
ACUCCUACGGGAGGCAGCAGUGGGGAAUCUUAGACAAUGGGGGAAACCCUGAUCUAGCCAUGCCGCGUGAGUGAUGAAGGCCUUAGGGUCGUAAAGCUCUUUCGCCAGGGAUGAUAAUGACAGUACCUGGUAAAGAAACCCCGGCUAAUCUUCGUUGCCAGCAGCCGCGGUAAUACGGAGGGGGUUAGCGUUGUUCGGAAUUACUGGGCGUAAAGCGCGCGUAGGCGGACUAGAAAGUUGGGGGUGAAAUCCCGGGGCUCAACCUCGGAACUGCCUUCAAAACUCCUAGUCUAGAGUUCGAGAGAGGUGAGUGAAUUCCAAGUGUAGAGGUGAAAUUCGUAGAUAUUUGGAGGAACACCAGUGGCGAAGGCGGCUCACUGGCUCGAUACUGACGCUGAGGUGCGAAAAGUGUGGGGAGCAAACAGGAUUAGAUACCCUGGUAGCUACGAG